CUGGCUCAGGACGAACGCUGGCGGCGUGCUUAACACAUGCAAGUUGAACGGGACGGAUAUUGAAGCGACUUUCGGAGUGGUGGAUAUAUUGUUUAGUAGCGGACGGGUGAGUAAUGCAUGAGAACCUGCCCUUCAGAGGGGGACAACAGUUGGAAACGGCUGCUAAUACCCCCAUAUGCCGAGAGGUGAAAGGAGCGAUCCGCUGAAGGAGAGGCUCAUGUCCUAUCAGCUAGUUGGUGAGGUAAGUGCUCACCAAGGCGAUGACGGGUAGCCGGCCUGAGAGGGCGACCGGCCACACUGGAACUGAGAUACGGUCCAGACUCCUACGGGAGGCAGCAGUGGGGAAUAUUGGGCAAUGGGCGGGAAACGCCUGACCCAGCGACGCCGCGUGAGGGAAGAAGGCCUUUGGGUCGUAAACCUCUGUUGUAUGGGAAGAAGGAAGUGACGGUACCAUACGAGGAAGUCCCGGCUAACUACGUGCCAGCCGCCGC
RNAcentral lists this ribosomal RNA (491 nucleotides) under uncultured bacterium. Its description in RNAcentral is "bacterial SSU rRNA". It matches the Rfam family "Bacterial small subunit ribosomal RNA", at positions 19 to 518 of the family's 1533-position model. The record is from RNAcentral.